RNAcentral lists this ribosomal RNA (253 nucleotides) under uncultured bacterium. RNAcentral's name for it is "partial 16S ribosomal RNA". It matches the Rfam family "Bacterial small subunit ribosomal RNA", at positions 524 to 776 of the family's 1533-position model. The record is from RNAcentral.
UACGGAGGAUGCAAGCGUUAUCCGGAUUUAUUGGGUUUAAAGGGUGCGUAGGCGGACGAAUAAGUCAGUGGUGAAAACCUGCAGCUUAACUGUAGACUUGCCGUUGAUACUGUUUGUCUUGAGUGUGGUCAAGGUAGGCGGAAUGUGUAAUGUAGCGGUGAAAUGCUUAGAUAUUACACAGAACACCGAUUGCGAAGGCAGCUUGCUGGGCCAUUACUGACGCUGAUGCACGAAAGCGUGGGGAUCGAACAGG